RNAcentral lists this long non-coding RNA (796 nucleotides) under Zostera marina. RNAcentral's name for it is "long non-coding RNA (ZMAR_LNC005670)". Lineage: Eukaryota; Viridiplantae; Streptophyta; Magnoliopsida; Alismatales; Zosteraceae. The record is from RNAcentral.
CGAAGUUCUGAAGAGUUACCUAAGGUACGAUGUAAAGACUUGGGUUCGUAAGCGUUAUUGUAUCCAAAAAAACUUACACAAGGUCUUAUCAAUACUUUAAGGCUAGUAAUCUCUAUGUUUAUCGAAAUUAGUUUAGCCCUGGUUUGAGAGAACCUGUAUAAAAUCUAUUGUGUUAGUUUUUUUAUUUUAUUUUACUAUUUUAUAGAUGAAUAAAAAUAACAGUUAAUAGCUUAAAAUCGAUUAAUAAAUAAUUUGGCCAUCGCCUGCGCUAAACCCAAUCACAUAGCCAUCGCCUGCCAUAACCACCACAGUGAGCAUUGAUAUCCUAUUCCUCCAUCUUCAUACAAUCGGGGUAGGAUCGCGGCAGAGGCCGAUAAAAGACGGUUGGUACUCGGACACCGGUUGUACUGACCACAUCACACCCGACAACGGUAGAUGGAUUCUCCAAACAAAAUAGUUGAUGGAUCUUUAAUUUUUAUUUCUCAGACCGUUUUUUCAACAUAUUUUUGCAAUAAUAAUUCUCUUAAACUAAACAAUAUUCUUGUGGCUCCUAUAGAUAAUCCAAUUAGAUCGAGUAUGUUUUGAUGAUAAUUCUGUUGUUAUUAAGGACAAUUAAAGCAUCUAAUUAUACGUUGAUCACUAGAGGCAUGAUCAAGAACGAUCUUUACUACUUCGAACUACAGGAUCUUCCAUCUGUGAAUCUAGCUGAAAAGCCUCUGUGAAUCUCUGACCUUUGGUUACGGGAAUUUUCAUACUGUUAAAAAAUGAUUGAAUUAUUUGAGUUGUCUGUAUCAGG